UCUAACUAUCUUCUAUUGGUAUCAGUGCCAGGUUGUAAUGGAUUGUUCAUGACCAUUUGCUCCUAGGGUAGUUAUACGACUCUAUGACGAAAAGCAUCGCCACGGAGGUCAUGGGCUGUGACUCUUCUGCAGGCCUCUAGCGUGCUUUGGAUGCUCUUUUUGGUGUGCACUCGAAAUCGAAAAUGGACGAAUAUCAUAUGAGGAUACAAACCUCAUGCAAAGGAUCCAUCUCUAUACCUGACUUUCUCAAGCAAAAAUGUCAGUGGGCUGAUGUUCUUACUCUUAUAGGUGACCCGUACUCCGAAUCUCAGCUUAUAGCUAACGUUCUUUCACGUUUAGAUGCCAAUUAUUUGACUAUUAUUGUUCUUGUGGAAGCUUAGCAGUCUACUACCUGGCAGGAUUUCCAGGAUCUUUUAAUGAGCUACGACAGUAAAAUGAAAAGGCUAAACGCCUUGUUUGGUUCCAGCAAGCUUCUUGGUGGGCUUGGUUCUCCUCAAGCUAAUCUUGCCAACAAGAACACUCCUUACAAUUCUCACAAAGGUGCUGCAUCGUCAUAUCCCCAUGGUUCUGGAUCUAGAGGAGGACGUGGUAAUGGGAACAAUCGUGGCAAUAGAGGUCGUUCAAAGGGUCGUGGUUGUCGCUCAAAUGGGCCCAAACCAGCUUGCCAAGUAUGUGGCAAGUAUGGUCAUUCUGCUGCUUUUUGCUACAACCGGUAUGAUGAGUCAUACAUGUGACCCAUUCAUGGUGGGAGUAACAACUCGAACAAUGGUUUAGCAGGUGCCUCAGCCUUUGUCAUCACUCCGGAUACUGCAGAUCUUGAUUCGUGGUGUGCUAAUAUAGGGACCAACAACCAUGUCACUGGUGAUGUCCAUAGCAUGAAUCAAAAGGCUGAGUAUAAUGGCAACAAAGAAGGAGGUUCUUCGAGGGAUGCUUAAGGAUGGUCUCCCCCAACUUGAAUCACCACAUCUCAGUCUACCUUCUUCAAAUCAUUCCAUUCCAGCUCCAAGAAAAGAGUCCUGUUAUUUUACUGGUUUUUAUUGUCUUUCUAGUCUUCUGUCCAAGAGUCAUGUAACUCAGUCACUGACUGAGAAGUCCUUAAAUUCUAUAAAAGAUAGGUGGCACCAACGAUUGGACCACCCAUCCACUCGUGUCUCGAGCCAACUUAAUGUAAGAAUUUCAAAAAAUGAAGAAAACACUUUCUUUGAUGCC
Long non-coding RNA from Humulus lupulus (European hop), 1209 nucleotides. RefSeq lists it as uncharacterized. The record is from RefSeq and is a predicted model, not a curated record. NCBI's taxonomy places the organism in Eukaryota, Viridiplantae, Streptophyta, Magnoliopsida, Rosales, Cannabaceae. The transcript is spliced from 2 exons.